Molecule: ribosomal RNA, 450 nt
Filed under: uncultured bacterium
Lineage: Bacteria
Description: partial 16S ribosomal RNA
Rfam family: Bacterial small subunit ribosomal RNA
Source: RNAcentral
GUGGGGAAUCUUCCGCAAUGGACGAAAGUCUGACGGAGCAACGCCGCGUGAGUGAAGAAGGUUUUUGGAUCGUAAAGCUCUUUCGUUAGGGACGAACGUGCUCUUUGUGAAUAAUGAGGAGUAAUGACGGUACCUAAAUAAGAAGCCACGGCUAACUACGUGCCAGCAGCCGCGGUAAUACGUAGGUGGCAAGCGUUGUCCGGAAUUAUUGGGCGUAAAGCGCGCGCAGGCGGGAUAUCAAGUCUGUCUUAAAAGUGCGAGGCUCAACCUCGUGAGGGGACAGAAACUGGUAUUCUUGAGUGUCGGAGAGGAAAGUGGAAUUCCAAGUGUAGCGGUGAAAUGCGUAGAGAUUUGGAAGAACACCAGUGGCGAAGGCGACUUUCUGGACGAUGUCUGACGCUGAGGCGCGAAAGCUAGGGGAGCGAACGGGAUUAGAAACCCUUGUAGUCC